UGACCUAUGGUGUAAUGGCAGCACUACAGAUUUUGGUUCUGUCGGCAGAGGUUCGAGUCCUCUUAGGUCAA
RNAcentral lists this transfer RNA (71 nucleotides) under Candidatus Minthomonas equi. RNAcentral describes it as "tRNA-Gln". It matches the Rfam family "tRNA". Rfam says of the family: Transfer RNA (tRNA) molecules are approximately 80 nucleotides in length. The record is from RNAcentral. Lineage: Bacteria; Pseudomonadati; Bacteroidota; Bacteroidia; Bacteroidales.